Long non-coding RNA from Pipistrellus kuhlii (Kuhl's pipistrelle), 179 nucleotides. RefSeq lists it as uncharacterized. The record is from RefSeq and is a predicted model, not a curated record. The transcript has 3 exons. NCBI's taxonomy places the organism in Eukaryota, Metazoa, Chordata, Mammalia, Chiroptera, Vespertilionidae.
CUGACAGAGCACUAAUAAGGUACACGCUGGAAGGAACACACAGCAGAUUAGGGGGGGCCGGGGAUCGGAUCCGUGAAUCAGAAAGGACCUCAGCCUUUGUCUGGGCAUUUGCCUGGGAGCUGGCCCUGAGUCCGGCCUCGCCCAGCAAGAUGGCUUCAGCCUGCCUUCCCUGGUCUGUG